RNAcentral lists this ribosomal RNA (208 nucleotides) under uncultured Eubacteriales bacterium. RNAcentral describes it as "uncultured Clostridiales bacterium partial 16S ribosomal RNA". It matches the Rfam family "Bacterial small subunit ribosomal RNA", at positions 568 to 774 of the family's 1533-position model. The record is from RNAcentral. Lineage: Bacteria; Bacillati; Bacillota; Clostridia; Eubacteriales.
CGUGUAGGCGGGAGAUCAAGUCAGAUGUGAAAUACCGCAGCUUAACUGCGGGGGCUGCAUUUGAAACUGAACUUCUUGAGUGAUGGAGAGGCAAGCGGAAUUCCUAGUGUAGCGGUGAAAUGCGUAGAUAUUAGGAGGAACACCAGUGGCGAAGGCGGCUUGCUGGACAUUAACUGACGCUGAGGCGCGAAAGCGUGGGGAGCAAACA